CCAAAAGUCUUCUCCCAUAUCUAAUCUUCUUGGCUGCACCAGACAAGAAAGUCCAGCUCCUUUACUUCUUUCUCUGUUCCUCUUUCUUUGCUCUUCUUUCUCUCUUCUUCCUUUGUUCUUACAUGGCAGCCCUCCCUCUAUCACCAAAGAAAAAUAUCUCUCUCUAAAGAAGAAAGUAAAGAGUUAACACUAAAAUUUCAACUUCAAAUUGUUUGGGGUGUUACCAGUAUCCAAGUCUAAGAUCCUUCGACUUUAGGCUCUCGAUUCCUCUGCUUUCAGUUAGCAGGUUUUAUUUUGGUGCAGAGGGAGCCUUAGUCGAGUUUGGAAGGAGUUGGUUUUAGUUUUAUAAGUAUAGAUCCUAAAUUAGCAUUCUGACGUUUAGCUUUAUAGUCAUUGUGUAUUGUAGGAUCAAAUGAAAGUUGUGUACCUUAAAGUAUUAAGAGAUGUAUUAUGUAAAAGUAUGGAAAUUAAAUGACUGGUGGAUUAUGUUAUAUUUUGAGUAUGGUGUAGAUGCUCUGACUAUCAAUUGAAAAAUUAUAUCAAGAAGUAAAGAAACAA
Long non-coding RNA from Quercus lobata, 558 nucleotides. RefSeq lists it as uncharacterized. The record is from RefSeq and is a predicted model, not a curated record. The transcript has 3 exons. NCBI's taxonomy places the organism in Eukaryota, Viridiplantae, Streptophyta, Magnoliopsida, Fagales, Fagaceae.